UACGAAGGGGGCGAGCGUUGUUCGGAAUUACUGGGCGUAAAGGGCGCGUAGGCGGCGACCCAAGUCAGAUGUGAAAGUCCUGGGCUUAACCUGGGGACUGCAUUUGAUACUGGGUUGCUUGAAUUCGGGAGAGGAUAGCGGAAUUCCCAGUGUAGAGGUGAAAUUCGUAGAUAUUGGGAAGAACACCGGUGGCGAAGGCGGCUUUCUGGCCUGUUCUUGACGCUGAGGCGCGAAAGCUAGGGGAGCGAACGGG
This 253-nucleotide ribosomal RNA is filed under the name uncultured bacterium. Its description in RNAcentral is "partial 16S ribosomal RNA". It matches the Rfam family "Bacterial small subunit ribosomal RNA", at positions 524 to 776 of the family's 1533-position model. The record is from RNAcentral.